CCCUGCAUUCGAAAGUGAUCUUGGGCUACCUGUGCCCUGGUCAUUGAUAGUGCAGGGAGAGGAACUGCUGAAAGCAUUUUCCCCGUGUUUGGAGGGUCUGCUCUUGUCCCUUUCAAACUCUGGAGCUUUCGUACA
Small nucleolar RNA from Sciurus vulgaris (Eurasian red squirrel), 135 nucleotides. Its record names the gene SNORA71. It matches the Rfam family "Small nucleolar RNA SNORA71". From Rfam's summary of the family: The members of this family belong to the H/ACA class of snoRNAs which bind a number of proteins (including dyskerin, Gar1p and Nop10p) to form snoRNP complexes. This class of snoRNAs are thought to guide the sites of modification of uridines to pseudouridines by forming direct base pairing interactions with substrate RNAs. The record is from Ensembl. NCBI's taxonomy places the organism in Eukaryota, Metazoa, Chordata, Mammalia, Rodentia, Sciuridae.